AGCAUAUAAGUAAUUAAUAGAAAAUUGAAGAUCAGGACGCGCUACAACAAAAUCAUGAUUUAGCGGCAUUUACUCCGUAGCAUUUAUCUAAAUGAUGCUAAUUAAUAUAUUUGACGGUAUUGCUUGAUAAUUACCGCUAUAUUUAAUAAUUUAACUGUAAUUUACUAUUAAUGCUGCAAAAUAGAAUAAAUUAGCAGCAUAAAUUAGUGAAUGCCGCUGAAAUUUUCAGUAUUUUAUAAAACAUGAUACUAAAUGUUACAAAAUAGCAGAGCUUAUUGCUAAAUGCUGCGACAUUUACUCCUCAACAUUUAUUUGAAUUAUACUAAUUAAUAUAUUUAACAGCAUUACUUGAUAAUUGCCGCUAAAUUUAAUAAUUUAGCAGUAAUUUACUAUUAAUGUUGCAAAAUAGGAUAAAGUAGCAGUAUAAAUUAGUGAACCUCGCUAAAUGUAAUAAAGUA
This 458-nucleotide long non-coding RNA is filed under the name Ananas comosus (pineapple). Its description in RNAcentral is "long non-coding RNA (ACOM_LNC018174)". The record is from RNAcentral. Lineage: Eukaryota; Viridiplantae; Streptophyta; Magnoliopsida; Poales; Bromeliaceae.